This 447-nucleotide ribosomal RNA is filed under the name Triticum aestivum (bread wheat). Its description in RNAcentral is "partial small subunit ribosomal RNA". Lineage: Eukaryota; Viridiplantae; Streptophyta; Magnoliopsida; Poales; Poaceae. The record is from RNAcentral.
AUGGAGCUCAGUCUUCGAGAGGAAGACCUUGACGAUGUGGUGUUCGAUGAGAAGGAGGCAUCGCCGGAGGCGGCGCGAUGGAUUGCAUUGAUCAGGGUACACUCGGCUAAAACAUACAGCCAAUAUUGGGUUUUCAAGAAUAUGAGAGCGGUGUGGGAUCUAGCACAGGAGGUCCAGUUCAAACCGCUUGAGGACAAUCUGUACACAGCCCAGUUCUCAUGUUUGGGAGAUUGGGAGAGAGUAACACGUGAUGGCCCAUGGCACUUCCGAGGAGACGCCGUUAUUCUGAAACCAUAUGAUGGCUUGGCAAAACCGACAACAGUUCAACUUGAUACUCUCGAGAUCUGGGUGCAGAUUCAUGAUGUCCCGCCUUUGUAUGCUCAUCUGGUGCCAUCUCUAGCUCAAAAGGUUGGAGAAGUUUUAUUUGCUGAACCCCAAUCGCAUUGA